This 402-nucleotide ribosomal RNA is filed under the name Saprospiraceae bacterium. RNAcentral describes it as "partial 23S ribosomal RNA". It matches the Rfam family "Bacterial large subunit ribosomal RNA", at positions 2521 to 2925 of the family's 2925-position model. The record is from RNAcentral. Lineage: Bacteria; Pseudomonadati; Bacteroidota; Saprospiria; Saprospirales; Saprospiraceae.
GCACCUCGAUGUCGGCUCGUCACAUCCUGGGGCUGGAGAAGGUCCCAAGGGUUGGGCUGUUCGCCCAUUAAAGUGGCACGCGAGCUGGGUUCAGAACGUCGCAAGACAGUUCGGUCACUAUCUGUUGUGGGCGUUAGAACAUAGAAGAGGUCUGACACUAGUACGAGAGGACCGUGUUGGACGAACCUCUAGUGUACCUGUUGUGGCGCCAGCUGCAUCGCAGGGUAGCUAUGUUCGGAAAGGAUAAGCGCUGAAAGCAUCUAAGCGCGAAGCCUUCUCUAAGAUGAGUAUUCCAUCCUUCGGGAAAAGGGUCGUGGAAGAUGACCACGUAGAUAGGCUACAGGUGGAAGUGCAGUGAUGUAUGGAGCCGAGUAGUACUAAUUACCCGAUAGCUUUCUUUUU